RNAcentral lists this ribosomal RNA (449 nucleotides) under uncultured bacterium. Its description in RNAcentral is "partial 16S ribosomal RNA". It matches the Rfam family "Bacterial small subunit ribosomal RNA", at positions 29 to 523 of the family's 1533-position model. The record is from RNAcentral.
AGCGAACGCUGGCGGCAGGCCUAACACAUGCAAGUCGAACGAAGCCUUCGGGCUUAGUGGCGGACGGGUGAGUAACACGUGGGAACGUACCUUUAGGUUCGGAACAACUCAGGGAAACUUGAGCUAAUACCGGAUAAGCCCUUCGGGGGAAAGAUUUAUCGCCUUUAGAGCGGCCCGCGUUAGAUUAGCUAGUUGGUGAGGUAAAGGCUCACCAAGGCUACGAUCUAUAGCUGGUCUGAGAGGAUGAUCAGCCACACUGGGACUGAGACACGGCCCAGACUCCUACGGGAGGCAGCAGUGGGGAAUCUUGCGCAAUGGGCGAAAGCCUGACGCAGCCAUGCCGCGUGAAUGAUGAAGGUCUUAGGAUUGUAAAGCUCUUUCACCGGAGAAGAUAAUGACGGUAUCCGGAGAAGAAGCCCCGGCUAACUUCGUGCCAGCCGCCGCCGUAA